UAAGGAAUAUUGGUCAAUGGGCGAAAGCCUGAACCAGCCACGCCGCGUGAAGGAAGACGGCCCUACGGGUUGUAAACUUCUUUUCUACGGGAAUAAACCUCAGGACGUGUCUUGAGCUGAAGGUACCGUAGGAAUAAGGAUCGGCUAACUCCGUGCCAGCAGCCGCGGUAAUACGGAGGAUCCAAGCGUUAUCCGGAUUUAUUGGGUUUAAAGGGUGCGUAGGUGGGAUAAUAAGUCAGAGGUGAAAGCUAGCAGCUUAACUGUUAAAUUGCCUUUGAUACUGUUAUUCUUGAGUGUAGUUGGCGUUGGCGGAAUGUGACAUGUAGCGGUGAAAUGCGUAGAUAUGUCACAGAACACCGAUCGCGAAGGCAGCUAACGAAACUAUCACUGACACUGAUGCACGAAAGCGUGGGGAGCAAACA
This 422-nucleotide ribosomal RNA is filed under the name uncultured Bacteroidota bacterium. RNAcentral describes it as "uncultured Bacteroidetes bacterium partial 16S ribosomal RNA". It matches the Rfam family "Bacterial small subunit ribosomal RNA", at positions 355 to 774 of the family's 1533-position model. Lineage: Bacteria; Pseudomonadati; Bacteroidota. The record is from RNAcentral.